CUACGGGUCGCUCCAGUGGGGAAUCUUGGACAAUGGGCGCAAGCCUGAUCCAGCCAUGCCGCGUGAGUGAAGAAGGCCUUAGGGUCGUAAAGCUCUUUCGCCAGAGAUGAUAAUGACAGUAUCUGGUAAAGAAACCCCGGCUAACUCCGUGCCAGCAGCCGCGGUAAUACGGAGGGGGUUAGCGUUGUUCGGAAUUACUGGGCGUAAAGCGCGCGUAGGCGGAUUAGUCAGUCAGAGGUGAAAUCCCAGGGCUCAACCCUGGAACUGCCUUUGAUACUGCUAGUCUUGAGUUCAAGAGAGGUGAGUGGAAUUCCGAGUGUAGAGGUGAAAUUCGUAGAUAUUCGGAGGAACACCAGUGGCGAAGGCGGCUCACUGGCUCGAUACUGACGCUGAGGUGCGAAAGUGUGGGGAGCAAACAGGAUUAGAUACCCCGGUAGUC
This 439-nucleotide ribosomal RNA is filed under the name uncultured bacterium. RNAcentral describes it as "partial 16S ribosomal RNA". It matches the Rfam family "Bacterial small subunit ribosomal RNA", at positions 339 to 795 of the family's 1533-position model. The record is from RNAcentral.